GGCAGCCGCGGACGCUCGUCGGGUUAUCCUCGUUGCCCUCGCGAGCGCGGAGGCAGGCGCCACGAAUUCACUUCUCGCAACUUCGGCUCCGCUCGGUCAGUUCCGACUGCCAGCCAGAAGAAUUCGUUAGUAUUCGCCGCGCUGCCUUGCCGGCAAGUUCUGUUCGAAGCAAGGUGAUUCGAAGACCGCCAGACGAGCGUUUUCCGAACGCGAUGUUCGUCUGAAAGAUUACUCGCGUAGAGAAAGUCGUGGUGGUGAUCGGAAGGGAGAAGGGUGGAAGCUUGGAGGACCAUCGAUGAGAUUUCCAAGGGAGAACGGUCCUGAGACUUUAUCGGCGUACACGGAGGAACGUUGCGAAGCGCAUUGGCUAGGUGGACCGUUUCGAAUCGCUUGGAAUCCGCGCGAAUUCGCGCGCCCGAACCGCGAGCCGCCACUAGUUCAAGAUUCCCUCGUCGCAGUGGGCCAAGUUCUCUAUCAAAACAUGGCCACGUGACCGACGGCGCGACUUGUAAACAGUGAGUUUGACCACGUGGUCUCCCCCCCUCUCGCCUGCGUCCGUCUCUGUCGAUGUCGUUCGCGUGCUCCGUUUCCCUCUCGCUCGCGCGCAACACGCAGAACAACGUACAUCGUAUUCCCGGUCGUUCCGUUGCCAGUUGCGGGAGAGUUCGAUUCGAGUGAUCCGCGAUACUCCGCUUUUCCUCGUGAUCAUCCCACGUCUCGAUUUAUCGCGAGUGUGGUCACGCAACCGUAUGCACUGCGAGCCCGGCUGGCGAAACAAGAAAAAAACGGAGUGGCGGUAGCGAAAGAGUGACCCCGGUUCUGGUUUCAACUCGUUAAUACCCGACCAGUGUUGUUAACCCGUCGGUAGUGACAGUGUUGGCCAUACCGUGACCGCUCCGCAAGUUCUAUCGACUAGUCUAGUCGACGGUUCGCCAUCCGCGAUAUCUGCCGGACCGUUCGGUGCCCGCGGCCAAAGUGGAGUACACGGACGAAACGAACAGGAUGGACCCGGUGUCGGUCUCGGCGUCGGGGUCGAAGACCGGGUUGCAACCACAGCAGGGGGUACCAUACGACCUUGAGACCGGGUUCGAGCCACAGUCCCGUGCUCGAUCGCACACGUGGCCUCUGCCCAGACCCGAGGAAUACAUCGAGGGCAACGUGGUACCCAGUGUGCAGGCCAAAGAGGGCGUCGAAGGUGUCGAAAGUGGCACGCCGUCGCAGCAUCGCUCUCUCGGACAAGGUACCGGACUGCUUCCGGUCAAGAAAAAUUCGUCCAGACGUAACGCGUGGGGUAAUCAUAGUUACGCAGAUCUCAUCACUCAGGCCAUCACUAGCGCUCCGGAGGAACGAUUAACGCUCUCACAGAUCUAUGAAUGGAUGAUGCAGAACAUCCCCUAUUUCAGGGAGAAAGGGGAGAGCAACAGCAGCGCUGGAUGGAAGAACUCCAUCAGACACAACUUGUCGUUGCACAGUAGAUUCAUGCGUGUACAGAACGAAGGUACCGGCAAGAGUUCUUGGUGGAUGAUCAACCGGGACGCGAAACCUGGCAAGUCGUCGCGCAGGAGGGCAAUCACGAUGGAAACCAGCAAAUUCGACAAACGACGUAGACAGGUGAGAAAGAAGAUCGAAGCUCUAAAAAAUGGCGGUCUACAGCCUGACGCGACACCUAGCCCGAGCAAUAGCGUGAACGAGGGAUUAGAUCUCUUCCCAGAUAGUCCUCUUCAACCCGGCAGUGGGUUCCAGCUCUCACCUGAUUUCCGUCCCCGAGCUUCGAGCAAUGCGUCAUCCGGUGGUCGGUUAAGUCCCAUUCCGUCGAUCCCUGGCAAACCGGAGUGGACACCGACCUACACACCUUCUUACAAUCUGGAACAAUUAGCCGGCAGCCUUGCGGAAGCAAUGAAAUUGGAAUCGUAUCAGAUGUACCAAACGUCUCCACCGAAUCAUCAGCAACAAACAGGUCCACCACCUUCCUAUUACGAGACCCAGUACCAGAGGAGCAAUAGCCUUACCACAGGGUCGUCCUCGUUCGUAAUGCAGCCCACUACUCAAUCAGCGAAUCAGCAGAGAUGCUCGAUUCACGGUUUGCAACCGUGCGCCUGUCAAAUGAAUUUGAGCCCAGUAGCAGGAAUGUCGCCAUCAUACCAGCAAAGCGAACCCAGUCCCACAGCGUUGGGCAACAGUCAGCAGCAGACCCUCCAAUACAUAAUGCAAACGCAACAGCAAUCGCAGCAGCAGCAACAGCAACAGCAGCAGCAGCAACAACAGCAACAGCCACAAACGGGAGCAACGGGAUCCAGUCCACCUCAUACACCCACACCAUGCGAACCCACGCCCAGUACGAUGAUGGGACAGUUAAUGGGCGCUCUGAACAAUUCCACGCUGCUCGAUGAUUUGAACAUCAACAUCGAAUCGUUGCAUGGAGGAUUUGACUGCAAUGUUGAAGAAGUGAUCAAACACGAGCUGUCGAUGGACGGAACGUUGGACUUCAACUUCCAGCAGGGCGUGAUGAGCACAGCGGCGAUUCAAGUGAGCGACAGCAACGUAGGACAAAAUGGCGGCGUGUCGCAGAACAACGUGGUGGUCGGAACGACGGCUGGAAACGCACCCGCAGGAGUUUACGUAAGCAGCAACGCGGCGACUCCUGCUGCACCUCCCUCGUGGGUUCACUAACUCAUGGAACCCCAUCGCCCUCGACACACCCGUAGUCCUUGCCAUCGACGUCUUUUGACGGACACGAUUAUUUCUGCGCACCGUCCGAGGGACAGCUCAUCGGUGUCCCAUGGGUCGAGGACGAGCGGGAUCGUCGAGUACUUGUGAUAAGGUGUAGGAAUAAUUAUACCGGACCACGACCACGAUACGUACCGUACCACCAAACGUACUUCAAUGCCGAUCUACGUGCAACCGUGGGGCCAGGCACCAUGAUCUUAACGUUUCACGGUCAGCCAUUGUUUCGUUGAACAGAUGCAAAACCUCAGUGAGAUCUCAAUCUGUUCAAACGCUGAAAUUGGACAUUCGAGAUCAUGCUUCUAUAUAAAAGUCCGCGAGUUGAUUUUGUCGCAUUUUCGGAGUUCCCUCGGUACAAGGGUACUCGACUAACCGUUAGAAUUAUUUAUUUUACGUUUAGAAGUGUCCGUGAAUUCGUUGACAUUUGGUACGGAGGCGCUUGUAAGGACUAUACAACAAAAAACGGAAAGUUCCUGCUCGUUUUUUGUUCUUGUGACAAUCGCAAAUGCUCAGGCGUGGUCCAACGGCGGAGUCCACUUCGUUUCUUUUCCCCACGAGCUCAUGCCUCCCUCUCGGCCAUUUAUUUUGAAGAAAUAACGCGGAGUACGUUUGUGCGGUAGCGUGACUGCGCAUGCGCCGUGGAUCGCGCAUGCGCGCGACGCGGAAAAUGGCGGACCGCGCAUGGGCCGAUGAAAGGACGAUGACUCGCCGACAAAUGUUUCGUCGUGCGUACACGAUCUCUGUUCUCUAUAAAAGUAACCUCAUGUGCUUCUCGGCGCACACUAUACAUAUAUAAAUAAAUAUAGAUAUAAAUAUAUUAUAAAUAAAUGAAUAUAUGUAUUCACAGGCACACACACAUACACGGACACGUACACAGACACAUAGAUAUGCGAAGGAUAUACACUAUUAUACUGUAUAUGUAACUAGAAAUAUUUACGAAGAGAAAUUGUUCGCGAAUGUCGCUGCAAGUUCUGUUACGGUAUACAUGUAUGAUAUUAAAUAUAUAACUGCGUAUGUAUAGCGUGUAUCAUACAUGUAUAUGAUAUUAUAUAUGGAUAAGAAAUAUUUAGUAUAUUCUAUAGAAUAUUGUACGUUCGCUAAUGUUAUGUAUAGUAUACAAAGAAGAAAUAUUGCGUAUAUAUGUGUAUGUAUGUAUACAGAUGUACAUACAUAUAUAUAAAUGAUUAUGUGUAUAAUAAUAUAUAGAUAAAACGAGUACAUAGGUUAUGUAUAGGAUAAGCUUAGGUACAAUUUAACGUAAGCAAGCUGCUAGAGGUAGACUUGGAAAUGGAAGAAGUUUUAGUCACAUGGUUAAGCCGCAGUUGACGUGAUGACGAAAUGCUCAUUCUGCGUGGCUUCUUUUCAAAUCGUCGCGUCGUUUCGUGAACGUAGGCGACACGUUGGUGCUUUUCGAUAGGUGAACGUUUCUUUCUUGUUCUCUUGCGUUUCCUGUUGGCGGUACACCUUAGGUCGGCGGUGGGCAACCGAGCUGCCCAGGGCAAAUUUCCAAUGUUCUUCUCCUUUAAAUUAUCAAGUUUUCGAUAUUCGAUAUUUUCAAAUCCAACAUUUUCCGAAUUUUUAACUUACAAAA
This is an RNA transcript of Megachile rotundata (alfalfa leafcutting bee), 4315 nucleotides long. It is a transcript of the gene named forkhead box, sub-group O, with no coding region annotated. The record is from RefSeq and is a predicted model, not a curated record. NCBI's taxonomy places the organism in Eukaryota, Metazoa, Arthropoda, Insecta, Hymenoptera, Megachilidae.